This 469-nucleotide ribosomal RNA is filed under the name uncultured bacterium. RNAcentral describes it as "bacterial SSU rRNA". It matches the Rfam family "Bacterial small subunit ribosomal RNA", at positions 28 to 507 of the family's 1533-position model. The record is from RNAcentral.
GACGAACGCUGGCGGCGUGCCUAACACAUGCAAGUCGAGCGGAGACAUGAGGGAGCUUGCUCCCGAGUGUUUUAGCGGCGGACGGGUGAGUAACGCGUGAGCAACCUUUCUCUCAGUGGGGAAUAACACAGGGAAACCUGUACUAAUACCGCAUGAGACCACAAUGCCGCAUGGCAUAGGGGUCAAAGAUUUAUUGCUGAGAGGUGGGCUCGCGUCCGAUUAGAUAGUUGGUGAGGUAACGGCUCACCAAGUCGACGAUCGGUAGCCGACCUGAGAGGGUGAUCGGCCACAUUGGGACUGAGAUACGGCCCAGACUCCUACGGGAGGCAGCAGUCGGGAAUAUUGCGCAAUGGAGGAAACUCUGACGCAGUGACGCCGCGUAUAGGAAGAAGGUUUUCGGGUUGUAAACUAUUGUCAUUAGGGAAGAAAAAAGACUGUACCUAAGGAGGAAGCCCCGGCUAACUAUGUG